AAACAACAAAAUAAAUGAAGACUAAAAGUAGUUUUUAUGCAAAAUUCAACACAAAUGUAAUAAAUUACACCUUUUACCUGUUAUUACCUGAAAAUGCAGGGUACCUGAUAAAAAUUUCACUUAAAUAAUUGCCUAACAUUACAGUUCAUGCUCUACUGAGCAUUUUUCAUGCAAUAACUUUCUCUGUAUCUCAUAUAAUAAAGAAGAUACAGCAGUCGGAAAAGGAAAAUACUGUUCUAAUGAAUGAACACAAAAAAAAGCAGCAGCAGCAGCAAUUUUCAGCUCACCUGGCCUAAAAGACCAAGUGAGCUUUUCUCAUCACUUGGCGUCUGUAGCCCGUUCCAUCGUUGUCUGUCAUCCGUCAGUUGUUAACUUUUACAAAAAUCUUCUCCUCUGAAACUACUGGGCCAAGUGCCACAAUCAUCAUUGAGGAGUUUAGUUUAAAAAAUGUGUGGUGACCCGGCCAACCAACCAAGAUGGCUGCCAUGGCUAAAAAUAGAACAUAGGGGUAAAAUGUAGAUUUUGGCUUAUAACUCUGAAACCGAAACAAAGAGCAAAUCUGCCAUGGGGUUAAAUUGUUAAUCAAUUAAAGAUCUAUCUAUCCUGAAAUUUUCAGAUGAAUCAGAAAAACGGUUGUUGGGUCGCUGCCCCUGAAUUGGUAAUUUUUAAGGAAAUUAUGCUGUUUUUGGUUAGUAUCUUGAAUAUUAUUAUAGAUAGAGAUAAACUGUAAACAGCAAUACUGUCAGCAAAGUAAGAUUUUCAAAUAAGUCAACAUGUCCAAUAUGGUCAGUUGACCCUUUAAGGAGUUAUUGCCCUUUAC
Molecule: long non-coding RNA, 820 nt
Filed under: Mytilus galloprovincialis (Mediterranean mussel)
Lineage: Eukaryota; Metazoa; Mollusca; Bivalvia; Mytilida; Mytilidae
Source: RNAcentral